GCGGAGGAAAAGAAACUAACAAGGAUUCCCCUAGUAACGGCGAGUGAAGCGGGAUGAGCUCAAAUUUAAAAUCUGGCGGCCUCAGGUCGUCCGAGUUGUAGUCUAGAGAAUCGUUUUCCGCGUUGGCCUGUGUACAAGUCCCUUGGAACAGGGCGUCAUAGAGGGUGAGAAUCCCGUCCUUGACACAGAUUACCAAUGCUUUGUGAUGCGAUCUCGAAGAGUCGAGUUGUUUGGGAAUGCAGCUCAAAAUGGGUGGUAAAUUCCAUCUAAAGCUAAAUAUUGGCGAGAGACCGAUAGCGAACAAGUACCGUGAGGGAAAGAUGAAAAGCACUUUGGAAAGAGAGUUAAACAGUACGUGAAAUUGUUAAAAGGGAAACGAUUGAAGUCAGUCAUGCUUUCCGAGACUCAGCCGAUUCUGUCGGUGUACUUCUCGGUUGGCAGGCCAGCAUCAGUUUCGAUCUGUGGAAAAGGUUGGAGGGAACGUGGCAUCUCCGGAUGUGUUAUAGCCCUUCUUCGAAUACAUAGAGCGGGACUGAGGAACGCAGCGCGCCUUUUAUUAGGUUGGCCCUCGGGUACAUACGCGCUUAGGAUGCUGGCAUAAUGGCUUUAAACGACCC
Molecule: ribosomal RNA, 617 nt
Filed under: Mrakia blollopis
Lineage: Eukaryota; Fungi; Basidiomycota; Tremellomycetes; Cystofilobasidiales; Mrakiaceae
Description: eukaryotic LSU rRNA
Rfam family: Eukaryotic large subunit ribosomal RNA
Source: RNAcentral